Molecule: transfer RNA, 71 nt
Filed under: Burkholderia sp. Bp9126
Lineage: Bacteria; Pseudomonadati; Pseudomonadota; Betaproteobacteria; Burkholderiales; Burkholderiaceae
Description: tRNA-OTHER
Rfam family: tRNA
About the family: Transfer RNA (tRNA) molecules are approximately 80 nucleotides in length. Their secondary structure includes four short double-helical elements and three loops (D, anti-codon, and T loops).
Source: RNAcentral
GUUCGGAUAGCUCAUUCGGUAGAGCAAUCGGUGAAAACCGAUGUGUAGCGGGUUCGAAUCCCGCUCGAACG